CGAAGGGGGCGAGCGUUGUUCGGAUUUACUGGGCGUAAAGGGCGCGUAGGCGGCCAUCUUUGUCAGGCGUGAAAGCCCCGGGCUCAACCUGGGAACUGCGUCUGGGACGGGGUGGCUAGAGAUCGGGAGAGGAGCGUGGAAUUCCCAGUGUAGAGGUGAAAUUCGUAGAUAUUGGGAAGAACACCGGUGGCGAAGGCGGCGCUCUGGACCGAGACUGACGCUGAGGCGCGAAAGCGUGGGGAGCAAACAGGAUUAGAUACCCUGGUAGUCCACGCUGUAAACGACGUGUGCUAGACGUUGGGGAGCCUAGCUCUUCGGUGUCGCAGCUAACGCUUUAAGCACACCGCCUGGGGAGUACGGCCGCAAGGUUA
Molecule: ribosomal RNA, 371 nt
Filed under: uncultured organism
Description: bacterial SSU rRNA
Rfam family: Bacterial small subunit ribosomal RNA
Source: RNAcentral